This 505-nucleotide ribosomal RNA is filed under the name uncultured bacterium. RNAcentral's name for it is "partial 16S ribosomal RNA". It matches the Rfam family "Bacterial small subunit ribosomal RNA", at positions 28 to 507 of the family's 1533-position model. The record is from RNAcentral.
GACGAACGCUGGCGGCGUGCCUAAUACAUGCAAGUAGAACGCACAGUUUAUACCGUAGCUUGCUACACCAUAGACUGUGAGUUGCGAACGGGUGAGUAACGCGUAGGUAACCUGCCUGGUAGCGGGGGAUAACUAUUGGAAACGAUAGCUAAUACCGCAUAAUAUUGAUUAUUGCAUGAUAAUUGAUUGAAAGAUGCUAUUGCAUCACUACCAGAUGGACCUGCGUUGUAUUAGCUAGUAGGUGAGGUAACGGCUCACCUAGGCGACGAUACAUAGCCGACCUGGGAGGGGGAUCGGCCACACUGGGACUGAGACACGGCCCAGACUCCUACGGGAGGCAGCAGUAGGGAAUCUUCGGCAAUGGACGAAAGUCUGACCGAGCAACGCCGCGUGAGUGAAGAAGGUUUUCGGAUCGUAAAGCUCUGUUGUAAGAGAAGAACGGGUGUGGGAGUGGAAAGUGCACACUGUGACGGUAUCUUACCAGAAAGGGACGGCUAACUACGUG